Molecule: long non-coding RNA, 1323 nt
Organism: Rosa chinensis
Lineage: Eukaryota; Viridiplantae; Streptophyta; Magnoliopsida; Rosales; Rosaceae
Exons: 4
Source: RefSeq, a predicted model, not a curated record
UCUGAUAACUUUUUCUAAGAAAGACUUACAGGUUGGAAAGCUUAGUAAGUGCGCCAACCUACACCUUGGGACGAACAAGUAGGCUGUUUGGCCAACCAAACAGACAACUGGACCUUUUUAGAUCAAAUUCAGAGAGAGUAGUAGUGUAGCCUCAAUAGUCCGAGUAUUCUGUCAUUUCUCAGUCCGGGGAAUUUCAGCUUGCUCAGUAAGGAAUGAUGGGGGGUUCAACCCUAUUUGCACUCGGACAAUGCGGAAAUGGUUGAUAAGAUGGUGAGUGGUAUGGGCAAUGCGCGCAAGAGCCCUUGGUGCCUGACCUAGUGGAGAUUAGAUUGUAUUAUUUGAAGGUCUUCAAUAGCAAUAGAUCUGAAGACCCUAAUAAAAGAACCCCUUUUGCCAACUCUUCAGUUACAGACUUGCAGGGCAAACUACAAGUAUUUUGAGGCCAUUUCGCUCUAACCGUUUAUGGUUACAGAAGUCAUCUGAGCAUGUUAAACCACAGUGAACUUGGGGAGGAGUAUUUUUGGUGUCAAAAGGUACGAAUUGAAACAGUAAAUUCGACGGUACGUGUAAAAGGCUGGAGGGUGGAAUAAAGUCCAUCUGAAUUCUGAAACGUAAGGCAGAAUUUACUGUUGGUGACUUGUACACGAGAAAGCGCCCUUCUGUAUUGAAGCAGUCUCUUAUAUUCCUCAGUUGUGUUCUCAGUGGAUUUCAAUUUUCAAGAGAUAUGCUCGUGUACAAAAGAAAGCGCCCUUCAGUACUCUUACUGAAGCAGUACCUUGUACUCUUAUAUUCCCUAGCCUUCCUAUAUAUUUUGUUAUCUCGAGAGAAUUCUUCCCUGCCUCGAGGAGAUUACUCAAACCUCUCCUUGAGUAAAUUUCUCUUCGAGCAAAUCUUUCUUGAAAGGUUUCGUUGUAACUGGAUCCUUCUUGAAAAGAUAUUUCUCCCUAGACAAGAAAUAUGCUCCUCGAUGAGAUUUUUCUUCCUUGAAUAUGCUCCUCAACAAAAUAUUCCCUCCUCGACAAGAUAUUUCUUCCUUGACAAGAGAUAUGCUCCUCGACAAAAUAUUCUCUCCUUGACUAGAUAUUUUUUCCUUAACAAGAUGUGUCCCUGUUGUGUUUAUAAGUUCACUCUCAAAAUUUGUACCCCACAAAAGGCUCAAUCUGAUGCAUACUACUGAAGUGAAUUCCUUUAAUAAUCCAUCAAGAAUGCAGCCUAUUCUCACUACCACUUAUCUCUUGCAUUUCCCAACAUUAUUCUUCUUUCUAUUCUUUCUUAUCAGUACAAGAUCUAGUUUACCAUUACAAGUUUUCUAAUCUGCUUGAG